Molecule: ribosomal RNA, 459 nt
Filed under: uncultured bacterium
Lineage: Bacteria
Description: partial 16S ribosomal RNA
Rfam family: Bacterial small subunit ribosomal RNA
Source: RNAcentral
CCUACGGGUGGCAGCAGUGAGGAAUAUUGGUCAAUGGUCGGAGGACUGAACCAGCCAAGCCGCGUGAGGGAUGAAGGUACAGAGUAUCGUAAACCUCUUUUGUCAGGGAACAAAGGCGGGGACGUGUCCCCGUAUGCGUGUACCUGAAGAAAAAGCAUCGGCUAACUCCGUGCCAGCAGCCGCGGUAAUACGGAGGAUGCGAGCGUUAUCCGGAUUUAUUGGGUUUAAAGGGUGCGCAGGCGGUAUGUAAAGUCAGCGGUAAAAGCCCGGGGCUCAACCCCGUCGCGCCGUUGAAACUGGCAGUCUUGAGUGGGAGAGAAGUAUGCGGAAUGCGCGGUGUAGCGGUGAAAUGCAUAGAUAUCGCGCAGAACUCCGAUUGCGAAGGCAGCAUGCCGGCUCCACACUGACGCUGAGGCACGAAAGCGUGGGUAUCGAACAGGAUUAGAUACCCGAGUAGUC